Molecule: ribosomal RNA, 245 nt
Filed under: uncultured bacterium
Lineage: Bacteria
Description: partial 16S ribosomal RNA
Rfam family: Bacterial small subunit ribosomal RNA
Source: RNAcentral
UAACACGUGGGUAACCUGCCUUAUAGUGGGGGAUAGCCUUUCGAAAGAAGAUUAAUACCGCAUAAGAUUGUAGUAUCGCAUGAUAUAGCAAUUAAAGGAGCAAUUCGCUAUAAGAUGGACCCGCGUCGCAUUAGCUAGUUGGUGAGGUAAUGGCUCACCAAGGCGACGAUGCGUAGCCGACCUGAGAGGGUGAUCGGCCACAUUGGGACUGAGACACGGCCCAGACUCCUACGGGAGGCAGCAUG